ACAGACUGCAGAUGUCCUCGAUGACACACAUGCAUUGCCUGCAUGUUGAACUUGACUGGCUUUAGGUACAUUGCACCUGCUGCUACAGUGCCUCACACUGGGAUGCAGGAGGCAACUAUCUGUCUUCAGGAUUGGGAUGUAAAGAAAAGAUGCAGCUAUGUUGUUGCAAGAAUCAAAUGAGAACAUAUUGGCAAGAAUCUUUUGCAUACUCUGAUGCAAUAUAUAAAAAUAUAUAUUGUCAGUUGAUCUUCAUAUAUUGUACAAAGUAAAGAUGACUCCUGCUUUAUCAAA
This is a non-coding RNA of Vicugna pacos (alpaca), 291 nucleotides long. The record is from RefSeq and is a predicted model, not a curated record. Lineage: Eukaryota; Metazoa; Chordata; Mammalia; Artiodactyla; Camelidae.